This 386-nucleotide unclassified non-coding RNA is filed under the name Hevea brasiliensis (rubber tree). Lineage: Eukaryota; Viridiplantae; Streptophyta; Magnoliopsida; Malpighiales; Euphorbiaceae. The record is from RNAcentral.
AAAAGAGCAUACUUCUGUUUGCCAGAAGUCUUAUAAUGACAGAAAGUAGUUGAUUUGGAGAUCCUUGUUUUCUUUUGUAAUAAUUAGUUAGAAGGAUACCUUUCAAAAAAAAAAAAAAUUUGAAGGAUACUGUCAACAUUUUUUUUUAUUGUUUUAAAUGAAUUGUGUUUACAAUUUUAGUGUUGUAAUUACAUUUCUAUGAUUUUGUUGUAUGAUAAAUUGAAAGAACCCUUGUAUCUUUUGAGAAUUUGAUGACCUGGAAUUGUGUACAACAUUGCCAUCGCCACACCUGGCUGUGUUUCUUGACAUAUCCUGACAUAUAGGCAUAUAGAUAUAUGUUUUUUAAGGUAUUUUUGUUUGUUACUCCUUUUUUUUUUUUUUAGUUU